UCUAAAACUUUAUCUUUUGGUUUCCUUUUGCUGGUGAGUUUGGGCUUAGCUUCGGCGGCCCGAUCUCUUCUUUCUUACGAUAUUCCUCCUCAUCGAUCUGGAUACGAUAAUUAUGAUCAUCCUGUAGUUAACCCUAAAGUAGGAUACGAACAUGACCGUCGUGAUGGAUACUACCAUGACCGUGACCAUCAUGAUGCACCUUAUGGUGGUGGUGCUGGUGGAGGAUAUGGAGCUGGAGCUGGAGCUGGCUCAUCUCUUGGAGGCUCUGGAUAUGGAAGUGGAGGAGGUGGUGGUUCUGGAUAUGGAGGUGUAGGAAACCACGAGGUUGGUUAUGGUAGUGGUGGAGGGGGUGGAUAUGGAGCUGGAGUUGGCUCUGACCUUGGUGGUAGCGGAUACGGAAGCGGUGGUGGUGGAGGCAGUGGAGGAGGAUACGGUGAUUUAGGAGGACGUGGAAAAGGGUACGGUAGCGGUGGAGGUGGAGGAAGUGGAUAUGGAGGUAGAGGAGACCAUGGAGUUGGUUAUGGAAGUGGUGGAGGUGGAGGAUAUGGAAGUGGAGUAGGUGGUGGUGCAGGAGUGGUAGACCAUGGUGUAGGUUAUGGGAGUGGAGGAGGAGGUGGGGCUGGUAGUGGUUAUGGUGGUUCCAAAGGAUAUGGAGGUGGAAGCGGCGGCGGUGGGGGAGCCGGUUAUGGUGGUGGAGCACAUGGAAGUGGAUAUGGAAGUGGUGGUGGAGCUGGAAGUGGUGAAGAAGGAGGAUAUGAUGGUGGAUAUGCACCGUAAACAAAGAAAAGAAAAGAAAAAGCUCAAAGUUUUAUGGCUAAAAUGAGAAUGCUUACCCUAAUAUCAUCAAUGUGUGUGUGUGUUAGCAAAAAAAAAAAAUAAAAGAAUUUGGGUAA
Molecule: long non-coding RNA, 893 nt
Filed under: Cucumis sativus (cucumber)
Lineage: Eukaryota; Viridiplantae; Streptophyta; Magnoliopsida; Cucurbitales; Cucurbitaceae
Description: long non-coding RNA (CSAT_LNC000826)
Source: RNAcentral